UGUUGCCUACGGGACGCAGCAGUGAGGAAUAUUGGUCAAUGGUCGGGAGACUGAACCAGCCAAGCCGCGUGAGGGAUGAAGGUACAGAGUAUCGUAAACCUCUUUUGUCAGGGAACAAAGGCGGGGACGCGUCCCCGGAUGAGUGUACCUGAAGAAAAAGCAUCGGCUAACUCCGUGCCAGCAGCCGCGGUAAUACGUAUGGUGCAAGCGUUAUCCGGAUUUACUGGGUGUAAAGGGAGCGCAGGCGGUGCGGCAAGUCUGAUGUGAAAGCCCGGGGCUCAACCCCGGGACUGCAUCGGAAACUA
RNAcentral lists this ribosomal RNA (305 nucleotides) under uncultured bacterium. RNAcentral describes it as "bacterial SSU rRNA". It matches the Rfam family "Bacterial small subunit ribosomal RNA", at positions 333 to 635 of the family's 1533-position model. The record is from RNAcentral.